UGCAGUCGAGCGGAUGACAGGAGCUUGCUCCUGAAUUCAGCGGCGGACGGGUGAGUAAUGCCUAGGAAUCUGCCUGGUAGUGGGGGACAACGUUUCGAAAGGAACGCUAAUACCGCAUACGUCCUACGGGAGAAAGCAGGGGACCUUCGGGCCUUGCGCUAUCAGAUGAGCCUAGGUCGGAUUAGCUAGUUGGUGAGGUAAUGGCUCACCAAGGCGACGAUCCGUAACUGGUCUGAGAGGAUGAUCAGUCACACUGGAACUGAGACACGGUCCAGACUCCUACGGGAGGCAGCAGUGGGGAAUAUUGGACAAUGGGCGAAAGCCUGAUCCAGCCAUGCCGCGUGUGUGAAGAAGGUCUUCGGAUUGUAAAGCACUUUAAGUUGGGAGGAAGGGCAGUAACUUAAUACGUUGCUGUCUUGACGUUACCGACAGAAUAAGCACCGGCUAACUCUGUGCCAGCAGCCGCGGUAAUACAGAGGGUGCAAGCGUUAAUCGGAAUUACUGGGCGUAAAGCGCGCGUAGGUGGUUUGUUAAGUUGGAUGUGAAAGCCCCGGGCUCAACCUGGGAACUGCAUUCAAAACUGACAAGCUAGAGUAUGGUAGAGGGUGGUGGAAUUUCCUGUGUAGCGGUGAAAUGCGUAGAUAUAGGAAGGAACACCAGUGGCGAAGGCGACCACCUGGACUGAUACUGACACUGAGGUGCGAAAGCGUGGGGGAGCAAACAGGAUUAGAUACCCUGGGUAGUCCACGCCGUAAACGAUGUCAACUAGCCGUUGGGAGCCUUGAGCUCUU
This 791-nucleotide ribosomal RNA is filed under the name Pseudomonas sp. SH-2-02. Its description in RNAcentral is "bacterial SSU rRNA". It matches the Rfam family "Bacterial small subunit ribosomal RNA", at positions 56 to 841 of the family's 1533-position model. Lineage: Bacteria; Pseudomonadati; Pseudomonadota; Gammaproteobacteria; Pseudomonadales; Pseudomonadaceae. The record is from RNAcentral.